Molecule: RNase P RNA, 397 nt
Filed under: Arminella tumorigenes
Lineage: Bacteria; Pseudomonadati; Pseudomonadota; Alphaproteobacteria; Hyphomicrobiales; Rhizobiaceae
Description: Rhizobium tumorigenes RNase P RNA component class A
Rfam family: Bacterial RNase P class A
About the family: Ribonuclease P (RNase P) is a ubiquitous endoribonuclease, found in archaea, bacteria and eukarya as well as chloroplasts and mitochondria. Its best characterised activity is the generation of mature 5'-ends of tRNAs by cleaving the 5'-leader elements of precursor-tRNAs. Cellular RNase Ps are ribonucleoproteins.
Source: RNAcentral
CCAGUUGGCCGGGCAGCCGCGCUUCACAAUGUCGAAAGGCGGUGGGGUGAGGAAAGUCCGGGCUCCACGGAAACACGGUGCCGGAUAACGUCCGGCGAGGGUGACCUCAGGGAAAGUGCCACAGAAAGUAAACCGCCCGGUUCCGACCGGGUAAGGGUGAAAGGGUGGGGUAAGAGCCCACCGCGUCUCUGGUGACAGCGACGGCAUGGUAAACCCCACCGGGAGCAAAACCGAAUAGGGAUGACGCGGUGAGCGCAAGCUCGCCAGCCUGUUUCCGGGCCUGUCAUCCGGGUGGGUUGCACGAGGCGGCACGCAAGUGUCGUCCCAGAUGAAUGGCUGCCACGUUCCGACUUCGGUCGGGGCCUUACAGAACCCGGCUUACAGGCCAACUGGUAAU